Molecule: ribosomal RNA, 172 nt
Filed under: uncultured bacterium
Lineage: Bacteria
Description: partial 16S ribosomal RNA
Rfam family: Bacterial small subunit ribosomal RNA
Source: RNAcentral
AAUUGCUAGUAAUCGUGGAUCAGCAUGCCACGGUGAAUACGUUCCCGGGUCUUGUACACACCGCCCGUCACACCAUGGGAGUCGGAAAUGCCCGAAGUCAGUGACCCAACCCGCAAGGAGGGAGCUGCCGAAGGUGGAGCCGGUAACUGGGGUGAAGUCGUAACAAGGUAAC